GAUGAACGCUGGCGGCGUGCCUAAUACAUGCCAGUCGAGCGAACAGACGAGGAGCUUGCUCCUCUGACGUUAGCGGCGGACGGGUGAGUAACACGUGGAUAACCUACCUAUAAGACUGGGAUAACUUCGGGAAACCGGAGCUAAUACCGGAUAAUAUAUUGAACCGCAUGGUUCAAUAGUGAAAGACGGUUUUGCUGUCACUUAUAGAUGGAUCCGCGCCGCAUAGCUAGUUGGUAAGGUAACGGCUUACCAAGGCAACGAUGCGUAGCCGACCUGAGAGGGUGAUCGGCCACACUGGAACUGAGACACGGUCCAGACUCCUACGGGAGGCAGCAGUAGGGAAUCUUCCGCAAUGGGCGAAAGCCUGACGGAGCAACGCCGCGUGAGUGAUGAAGGUCUUCGGAUCGUAAAACUCUGUUAUUAGGGAAGAACAAAUGUGUAAGUAACUAUGCACGUCUUGACGGUACCUAAUCAGAAAGCCACGGCUAACUACGUG
This 496-nucleotide ribosomal RNA is filed under the name uncultured bacterium. Its description in RNAcentral is "partial 16S ribosomal RNA". It matches the Rfam family "Bacterial small subunit ribosomal RNA", at positions 28 to 507 of the family's 1533-position model. The record is from RNAcentral.